Molecule: long non-coding RNA, 803 nt
Filed under: Elaeis guineensis (African oil palm)
Lineage: Eukaryota; Viridiplantae; Streptophyta; Magnoliopsida; Arecales; Arecaceae
Description: long non-coding RNA (EGUI_LNC066788)
Source: RNAcentral
CCACAGUCCUAGUCCAAGUAGGAUUCUUCACCAGAGACAAUCCAAUUGGACUCUUCUACCAUCAGAUUUGACCAAAUCUUUUAAUGCGUGUGACCCCAUAGGUUCAAACCUAAGCUGGUAGCAUAGGAACAACUUUCUAUACCAAUCGAUGUAACCAUCUAGCAAUAAUGACUCGACAACCGGAUAGGUUGAAGUGUUGCAAGGUAACGUUCUAGUACCUACUGGCGUAUGGUUACCAUAUAAUUUAUCUCUUUGAUCUAAAUGCUCAAGGUGAUGUAGGGUUUAACUGUCAACCUUAAUUAAGUCAACCACAUUAUAUUUCAACCUUUCAAAUCUAUCUCAUGGAUUAUUUUGAUCAAGAUUUUGCUAAAUUGAAAUACACUGAUGCAUAUCUCCUAUCAAUUCAAAGGGAUCAAUUCCAUCUUGACUCACACACCGACUUGAUAAGUACUAGACUGCACCCAAUAUCCUUCCAUCACUAAGUUAAAAACUUAGAUGGUCUGGUACUAAUGUAUAGUGAGUUGCUUAUAAGUCACUGUGGUGAUCUCAGAUCGGUGGGAUACUUAUAUCCUUACCCUUCACAAACUACUCUUGACAGCAGAAUACUCGGCACAUGAUCACGUUCAACGCGAAUGUACUCCUACAUUCUAUCUGCAUGCCAUAAUAGUAUCUCUACACUCUUUGGUUAAGAGGAUAAUCAACUCAUAUGGCACACAACGACCUACACUUGAUAUCGCUAUCGUGCUAUUAAUAGUAUAUCGUUUGGUCGCAAAUAUUUUUAAAGACUUAACGACAAAUCCUCC